Molecule: long non-coding RNA, 1884 nt
Filed under: Homo sapiens (human)
Lineage: Eukaryota; Metazoa; Chordata; Mammalia; Primates; Hominidae
Description: non-protein coding lnc-CISD1-5:1
Source: RNAcentral
GGCAACAUAUGAAUUGUCCAAAGAAGCCAGUAAAUUAACUUUCAGAUUUCCCAUGACCUAUUACAAAAAUAUACUCAAGUAACUGAGGUUGUUGUAUCUGUAUACAGAAUUAUAGUAACCUAGAUACCUACUGUGCAAUUGUCUCUUAGGAGAGUAUAAAAUAGCAUUACGGUGAAGAAGAAUUAAUUUUGAGGGUGAUUCUGCAAUUUCUAGCCUAUAUAAAUCACAUGACUUCUCUGCACUUGGACUGGCACAUAAUGUUAACCAUCAUGGGAGAAAAGGAAAUAGAAUGAAUGAAAGUAGGACACACAACAUCAAUGAAGGGUUACUUUUGGUGAUGUAUUCCAUAAUGAACUAUUUCAGGAAGAACCACAGACAGCAUCAGCUCAGGCUCCCAAAAGCUUUAAUGUUUUUGAAUUUUUCACUAUAUGUGGUUCCACAUUUUGGAUUUCACUCAGGCUGCAAACAAACACCUAAUCUUUCUCAACACAUUCCCAAAUGUAAUUACAUGGUUACUUUAGCUACAACAUUCAGAUUGAUCAUAACAGAAAUAUAUCUUGCACCUAUACAGUGUACUUCCACCUAUACUACUGAAUAGUUCACAGGAAAGUCUAUCUGAUUAUAUAUAUAGUAGGCCUUAUGCUAGCUUACAACUCAACGGACACAGCAGCUUCCUAGGUAGGUAUCUCAGUUUAAUCCCAUGAACUCUCAAAUUUCUAUCAGUUUUACAAACUGGUCUCUAGACUUCUUAACUUACAUCUAAUCUUUGGGCAAACACUUUAACUAAACAGAUAUAUCAAAAAGGACAUGAGAUGUUAAUAUCCACGUGUCCAUUAGUACACUGACUACUUCACAACCACCAACAAUUCCUUCAUCUGGGAGCUUGAAGUCUCCUGCCCAUAGCUAGUAUAUCAUUCAGAAUGUUUUAACAGGGCCUUGAAAAACAAGUGAAAUUAAACUUCAAUCCUCAUAAAAAUAAUAGUUCUUCAAAACUGCAUUUAUUUGGAUUAAAACAUCCCAAAGUUACUCUUUAUAUUAAAAGCUAGAUCUUAAAUAAAAGUGAGCAUACUAUAUCCAUAGCAGCCAGUCUCCUAAUUAUGGUAUAAGUAAAGUUCCAUCUGUGUGGAAAAAAGUUCAAAGCACAAAGUUUUAUCUGUGCCAACCUCACAUCUGUAUCUCAGCUAAUACAACCACAGGAGAUAAGCAGGUCAUGGAGAAUCUGCCCACAAUCUUCAUAUCAACAAGCUCUGGAACAUCUGCCCCCUCCAGAAAUAUUUAUAUCCAGAAGGUAUAUUUAUAUCCAGAAGGUAUAUUUCUGGAGGAGGCAGAUGUUCCUGAGCUUGUUGACCCACACCAUCCCACUGGGCAACAACUCUGCAAUUUCUCCUAAAGUCAUGGUUAUUCAACUUAACAUGUACUUUUACAUUUGUAUGUUCUUCAAAUAAAUUGCCUACAUUCACACCAGGGAUGAUAUCCCCCAACAUUGAGCAUAUAAGUCUUCUAGACCAAUAAGAUUAUUAUGGAGAAAGAAGCUAUUCAACACCUGUUUUUCUCAUGAGUCACAUGAGGCAACAACCUGAGGUCAAAGAAAUGGAGAAUAAUUGAACUCAAAGGCAUCUAAGGAAUUAAAAUUCUACAUAGCAAAAUCCUUCCAUUACAGAAGUACAGCAGGUAAGAAGUUAUAAUGGACACCUAUAGCCCAAGGCCCACAUUUUAAUCUGAGGGCUAUUUAUAACUUUUAUAACAGGUCUAGAUGUAUAGAUCUUAUGCUCUCAUAACUCAAAAGAUCAAAAGUCCACUCUUGAAACACCAACUAUGUGGAAGUACCCCCUUUGAACCAUCCAGCCUUCACUUUUCGUGAACCAUGUACAAUGCCAAGUCAUU